GUACUGUGCAAACGUUAUUCGGAAUCACUGGGCUUAAAGGGUGCGUAGGCGGCUAUUCAAGUCGGAUGUGAAAUCUCUCGGCCUAACCGAGGAAUUGCGUUCGAAACUGAAUGGCUUGAGUGAGAUAGGGGUGUGCGGAACUUCCAGUGGAGCGGUGAAAUGUGUUGAUAUUGGAAGGAACGCCGGUGGCGAAGGCGGCACACUGGGUCUCAACUGACGCUGAGGCACGAAAGCCAGGGGUAGCGAACGGGAUUAGAUACCCCGGUAGUCCUGGCUGUAAACGAUGAGUACUAGACGGGAGGAAUUUCGGUUUCUCCGGUCGCAGCGAAAGCAAUAAGUACUCCGCCUGGGGAGUAUGGUCGCAAGGCUG
This 370-nucleotide ribosomal RNA is filed under the name uncultured organism. RNAcentral's name for it is "partial 16S ribosomal RNA". It matches the Rfam family "Bacterial small subunit ribosomal RNA", at positions 527 to 896 of the family's 1533-position model. The record is from RNAcentral.